GACGAACGCUGGCGGCGUGCUUAACACAUGUAAGUCGAACGGAAAGGCCCUGCUUUUGUGGGGUGCUCGAGUGGCGAACGGGUGAGUAACACGUGAGUAACCUGCCCUUGACUUUGGGAUAACUUCAGGAAACUGGGGCUAAUACCGGAUAGGAGCUCCUGCUGCAUGGUGGGGGUUGGAAAGUUUCGGCGGUUGGGGAUGGACUCGCGGCUUAUCAGCUUGUUGGUGGGGUAGUGGCUUACCAAGGCUUUGACGGGUAGCCGGCCUGAGAGGGUGACCGGCGGACGGGGGAGGGAGAGCGGCCCGCGGCGGACGGGGGAGGGGGUGGGCGGAAGUAGUGAGCGAGGGGCGGGGGCCUGCGGCGGAACCGAGGCGGGGGGGGUGACGGCGGUCGUGUGGUGCGCCGCUUAGGCAGGUGACGAGGCGUGGGGGGCGGUGAGGGGAAAAGAAGCACCGGACAACUACGCGCCAGCAGCCGCGGUAAUAAUGGGAAGAGCACGUUUCUACCC
Molecule: ribosomal RNA, 509 nt
Filed under: uncultured bacterium
Lineage: Bacteria
Description: partial 16S ribosomal RNA
Rfam family: Bacterial small subunit ribosomal RNA (bases 20-329)
Source: RNAcentral